GCCCAGCUCCCUUCCCUUUCCGGUCCAGCUUCCCACCCCCAAACUGUGUCCCCAGCGAGCACUCCCUGAACAGUCACUGCAAACACAUCCUCAUCCUAGGGGCUGCAUCUGGGCAACUCCUAGGAAAAAGGUCUGGUUACGCAAGCAGAUUUCUUGGCACACCCACCCACAGGAGGGAACCCACGCUGUGCUGCCGUAGAAGAAAAAAUAAUAAAGAAGGAGCGGAUUUUGUGACAGCUUUGGAAAAUCGCAUUGAGUGAGAAAAGCAAGGUACAGAAGCCUGGCCAUGGCAUCUUUAUUUUCUGAGCAGGGAAAGGCAAACGUGGACCGUGUCGUAUUUGCUGACUCCCUAAAGAAGCCGGAGACACAAGAAGCAGAUGAGAGAGGACACGCAGGGCGCCAGAGCAGGGGUGCGUGUGAAACCUCGGCUGCAGAGCCCAGAGGUAAGUUUUGUAAACGAAGACGACGAUGAUGACGACCCGCCCCGCACUGCCCGGUGCCGCAGCCCGUUCUGAGCCGUAUUCGCUCAUUUCCUCCUCAGGACUCUGGAAGGUAUCAUGGCCCUGUGCUAUGAAUCGUGUGCCCCUAAAACUCAUAGGUCGAAGCCCUCACCCCCAGGACAACGGUGUUUGCAAUCAGAAAGCGAUUAAAGUUCGCCGAGGCCAUGAGGGCAGGACCCCGGUAAGGCAGGGGUUAGAAUCCGUAUGAGCGCGUUCACACUGCCACAAAACAACACCCGACACUGGGUCCUUUCUACAGGAAAGAGGGUUAACUGACUCACAGCUCCACCUGGCUGCGGAGGCCUCAGGAAACUUACCGUCAGGGAGGAAGCAAAGAAUUCUCUACACGGCGGCAGGAGCAAGAAGAGCAACAGAGAGCAGGGAAACUGCCUUCUCAAACCGCCGGGUUUGUGAUCCCAGCACUUUGGGAGGCCGAGGCGGGGGGAUCACGAGGUCAAGAGAUCGAGACCAUCCUGGUCAACAUGGUGAAACCCCGUCUCUACUAAAAAAAUAUUAAAAAUUAGCCGGGCAUGGAGGCGCGUGCCUGUAAUCCCAGCUACUCAGGAGGCUGAGGCAGGAGAAUUGCCUGAACCCAGGAGGCGGAGGCUGCGGUGAGCCGAGAUCGCGCCAUUGCACUCCAGCCUGGGUAGCAAGAGCGAAACUCCGUCUCAAAAAAAAAAAAAAAAAAAACCACCAAGUCCAGCGAGAACUUGCUCACUAUCAGGAGAGCCGCUUCGGGGAACCGCCCCGUGGUCCGGUCACCUCCCACCAGGAGCCUCCCUCCACACCUGGGGACGAGAUUUGGGUGAGGACACAGAGCCGACACGUAUCGGCAUCCUCGAGGCAGAAGAAUAGGGUCUGAAGGCCCCGAACCUAAGGCCGCUUCAUGCUGACUUCCCAGAACUAAACUGAAAGGAGGGCCUUACCUUUCCUCGCCUAAGUGACAGGAGGACCAGCGGCUACCCCUUUGCAAACCCCCACGUCUUCUGCGGGCGAAUGGGAAAUUGAAAGUACCUCUGACUGGCUGCUUUUUGCAACCUAUCAGACUGAUUGUGGCAACAGAAUAACCUCACCUCAGCCUCUGAUUGGCUGCUGUCUGCAACCUAUCAGACUGAUUGUGGCAACAGAAUAACCUCACCUCAGCCUCUGAUUGGCUGCUGUCUGCUACCUAUUAGACUGAUUGUGGCAACAGAAUAACUUCACCUCAGCCUCUGAUUGGCUGCUGUCUGCGACCUAUCACACUGAUUGUGGCAACAGAAUAACUUCACCUCAGCCUCUGAUUGGCUGCUGUCUGCAACCUAUCAGACUGAUUGUGGCAACAGAAUAACUUCACCUCAGCCUCUGAUUGGCUGCUGUCUGCAACCUCUCAAUCAGACUGAUUGUGGCAACAGAAUAACCUCACCUCAGCCUCUGAUUGGCUGCUGUCUGCAACCUAUCAGGCUGAUUGUGACAACAGAAUAACUUCACCUCAGCCUCUGAUUGGCUGCUGUCUGCGACCUAUCAGACUGAUUGUGGCAACAGAAUAACUUCACCUCAGCCUCUGAUUGGCUGCUGUCUGCGACCUAUCAGACUGAUUGUGGCAACAGAAUAACUUCCCCUCAGCCUCUGAUUGGCUGCUGUCUGCGACCUAUCAGACUGAUUGUGGCAACAGACUAACUCCACCUCAGCCUCUGAUUGUUGCUUUCCACAACCAAUCAGAUGUUUGCAUAGGAGUGUGACCUUUGUCACUUCGCUUGACCAAUUGGACUGAUCACAGGCCACCACUUCAUUCACAGGGCUGAACGCCAAGUGGCCAACGGGAAACCUCUGGCGGGUAUUUGGACUGGAUGAGAUUUCGUGUCUGGGGCCCUUGAGCCCCUGUGCUCGGGGCUGCUCCCACACCGCAGAGUGUACGUUCAUAUUCAGUAAAUCUCUGCUUUUGUUGCUUCAUUCUUUCCUUGAUUUCUUCGUACACUUUGUCCAAAUCUAACAUUCUCAUCAGAGAGACACCAGAGCGCAUUCUCCCCACACCCCCUCUUCCUCUACGCCCGGCCACGUGAGGACCUAGGAGAAGGUGGCCACCUACGAGCCGGAAGAAAGCCUCCAUCAGAACCUGGCCCUGCUGGCUCCCUGCCCUCAGACUUUGCCUCCAGGACUGUGAGGUCUAAACCACGCGGUCUACGGCACGUGUGUUAUGGCAGCAGGAUCUGACACAUCCCAAUCGUGCAGAAGAGGAAAUGGAGGUGCGGAGAGGUGAAGCACAUUGGCUGAGGUCGAACGAUGAGGACGCGGGAGAGCUGGGAUUUGAAUCGAGGUCAUUUGGCUGCGGGUCCAGGCUUUUAAUGAUGUAUUUGGGGCACACUCCCUUAAAACAGUCCCCAGAGGGGCCAGGCGCGGUGGCUCACACCCCUAAUCCCAGCACUUUGGGAGGCCGAGGCGGGUGGAUCACGAGGGCAAGAGAUCGAGACCAUCCUGGUCAACAUGGUGAAACCCCGUCUCUACUAAAAAUACAAAAAAUUAGCUGGGCAUGGUGGUGCGUGCCUGUAAUCCCAGCUACUCAGGAGACUGAGGCAGGAGAAUUGCCUGAACCCGGGAGGCGGAGGUUGCAGGCAGACAGAACGGUGACCCCCAAAGAUGUCCAUGUCUUAACCCCCAGAACCUGUGGACGUCUACCUUACCAAGCAAUUUACCUUACUUGGCAGGAGAAACUUUGCAGAUAUGAUUAAAUUAAAAAUCUUGAGGUGGGGGCGGUUAUCCUGGAUUAUACUGUGGGCACAGGGCCAUCACAGGGAUCCCGGGGACAGGGAGGAAGAAGUCAGAAAGGGGAGAAGAUGCCACUCUGCUGGCUUGGGAGACAGGAGGGGCCAUGAGCCAAGGAAUGCGGGCGGUGUCCAGGAGCCGCAGAAGGCAAGGGGGCAGAUGCUUCCCGGGAGCCUCCAGAAGGGGCAGACCCAUUUUAGAGUUCAGUCCUCCUGCACUUUAAAAUACUAAAUGUGUGCUUUGUAAGCCACAGUUUGUGUGGUCAUUUGUUGCAACAGUGAUGGGGAAAAUGCAGAUUUGGGGGGUGAAUGCCCGGGGGGAUGAUAUGCUCAUGGGGAAACUGAUCCUCGGUUUGGAGCUGAAAUAAGGUGCCUUGUAUACAGGCUCUACUUUGCAAUGUGACUUAACAAAUCUGCAAAGGGUUUUGUGACAUUGUGAUAUAAUAAGAAACAUUUACAUCGUCUCCAUCCUGGUUUUGGACACAGAGCUCCUAAAACCCUCAGAAUUUCCCGAGCGGUAAGAGUGGGAAAAGCAUUUUUGUUAUUGACAAUAACAACUCUCUUAGCCCAUUUUGUCGCCGUAAAGGAAGGCUUGAGGCUGGUCGUUUAUAUAGAAAAGAGGCGUAUUAGGCUCACAGUUCUGCCAGCUGCAUGGGAAGCAUGGCGCCAGCAUCUGCAUCCGUGAGGAGCUCAGGAAGCUUCCAGGCAGGGCAGAAGGUUAAAAGGAGCAAGGGUCAUGUGGAGAGGAGAGAGGCACGCGGAGAAAGACACCAGGCUUUCUAAACAAUCAGGUCCCUGAGGAACUACUAGAGCGAGAGAACUGGAGAACUCUCAUUACUGCAUGGAUGGCACCAAGACAUUCGUGAGGGAUCUGCCCCACGACCCAAACACCCCCCGCCAGGCUCCACUCCCAACAUUGGGGGUCAAAGUUCAACAUGAGAUUUGGAGGGGACAAGUAUCCAAACCAUUAUUAGUAACCGUAUCUGAGUUUAUGCUAAUGAGAUGACUCUUGGAGGGUGGGGGCUGGUUGCCAGAGGAGGGCUGGAACUUCAGUCACCGUGUUCCCCAACCCCAACCUCCAGGGAGAAGAGAGGGGCUGGAGAUCGACUUAAUCCCAAGGCCUCAUGAUGUAAUCAAUCAUGCCUGUGUAAUGUGACCUCCGUAGAACCCCUAAAUGACUAGAAAGGCGUUUCAAAGAGUUUCUGCGUUGAGUUAUUGAGCACAUCAAGGUGCAGGGAGGGCAGUGCACCUGGAGAGGGCAUAGGAGCUCUGUACCGCGCACCCCCACCGUGCCUCUCCUACUAACCCGUCCAUCCCACUCUGUCCACUCCACCCUGUCCAUGACUUGGCUGUUCCUGAGUCACAUUCUUUAUAAUCAACCAGUGAACAUAAGCAAAGUAUUUCCCUGAGUUCUGUACGUCAGUUGCCAAUUUUUUUUUGAGGCGGAGUCUUGCUGGGUCACCCAGGCUGGAGUGCAUUGGCUGGAUCUUGGCUCACUGCAGCCUCUGCCUCCCAGGUUCAAGUGAUUCUCCUGCCUCAGCCUCCUGAGUAGCUGGGAUUACAGGCGCGCACCACCAUGUCUGGCUAAUUUUUGUACUUUUAGUAAAGACAGGGUUUCACCACCUUGGCCAGGCUGGUCUGAAAUAGCUGACCUCAUGUGAUCUGCCUGUUUCAGCCUCUCAGAGUCCCAGGAUUACAGGCAUGAGCCAGCUUUUGCGCCCAGCUUUUGCCAAUUAUCGAGCCUGAGGAGGGGGUCAUGAGGACUCCUAAAUCAGCUGUAAGCCAUAGCUGGUCAACCUGAAGGGAGGCCGAGACUCGCAACUGGCAUCUGAAGUGGAGGCUGUACCAUGGGACUGAGUCGCUCAGUUGUGAGAUCUGGUGCUAAUUCUAGGUAGUGUUGGAAUUAGAUUGAACUGUGAGACACCCAGCUAUGUCAAAAAGUUGGAAGAUUUGCUGGUGUGGGUAAUCAAUACCCUGCCAUUUGCUGUCAGAAGCAAAGUGUUGCAUGUAGAAGAAAUAUAUUUUCCUUUCUAAGCUUUUGACAAAUAUAUAGAAUGUGGCAGAAGCGAUAUUGUGUGACUUCAAAACCUCAGUCUCAAGAGACCUUGCUGUUGCCACUCUACUCUUGACGAAAUGCUGUGAAGAUGCCCAGGCUGUCUACUGGAGGAUGACGCUGUGUGGAGCAGGGAACCGCUGUAAGAGCAGAGCCAGCCACCAAAAUGACCACCAGGCCUGUGAGAGAAGCUUCUUAGACCACGCAGCCCCAUUAGCCGCCAGGUGACUGUAGCCACACAGGUGAUCCCAAGUGAGACAAACAGAAGAGCCACCCACAGAGCCCAACCCAAACUGUCCUAUCUAAGGCUAAGUACACGGUAGAGCCUGAUCCCAUUGCUUCAGGAAUGGAGGUGGGGUGAACACUUGAGAGAUCAUAUUCUAGCUUUUUUUUUUUUUUUGAGAUGGAGUUUCACUCUUGUUACCCAGGCUGGAGUGCAAUGGCACGAUCUCGGCUCACCACAACCUCCGCCUCCCGGGUUCAGGCAAUUCUCCUGCCUCAGCCUCCUGAGUAGCUGGGAUUACAGGCCUGAGCCACUGCGCCCAGCUAAUUUUUUGUAUUUUUAGUAGAGACGGGGUUUCACCAUGUUGACCAGGGUGGUCUCGAUCUCUUGACCUCGUGAUCCCAAAGUGCUGGGAUUACAGGCCUGAGCCACCGCGCCCGGACCCCAUAUUCUGGCUUUUUUUGCUCUCAUCACCUCUACCAAUUUCAAUAACAUCAAAAGCAGUGAACAUCGGUUCAACCUCAGUUACCCUCACAACCACCCUUGCACAUGGUCAGUUGUAUUAUCGUUUUACAGAUGAGGAAACUGGGGCCAAGAGAGGUUAAUGGGGCUGCCCAAGGUCACUCAGCAGGCAAGCACAGGGAGUGGGAUUGGGACCCUGUUCCAUCUGAUGCCAGAGUCACCAUCGCUGUGGCGUUUGCUAGCCCGCUGCAUUCACUCAUUCAUUCAAGACCAAUGUAUUAAGUCUUUGAUGUCUGGUGCUUGGGAUGGAAAGAUAAACAAGAGAGAUGUGGUCUCUUUGUCAACAGCGUCUUGUGAAGAAUCACAAAUCGUGAUCAUCACUGAGCUUUGUGUUGACUUCAGUGAUGAACUUAGGGUGCCUGUGAAUGUAGCCAUUUGUUCCAAGUGUUUCAGUGAUGAACUUAGGGUGCCUGUGAAUGUAGCCAUUUGUUCCAAGUGUAAAUUAGGGUUGUGUUCAGCUGUGAGUCACUGGAACCUUCCUCCAGUGGCUUCCCCAGCCAAGGGCGGAAUUUUUCACAUAAGAAGACAGAAGAUAAGCGGUCCAGGGCUGAUGCUGCAGGUCACGAAGUCACAUGUACAGUUGAUGUGGCCUCACCCCUGCCAUCUUGGCUCUGGGGCAAGAAGAGGCUUGGCUUGCCGGCUUCAGCUAGGUACAAACUCCAAAUGAAAGGCUUUGGUCACUUGCCCAGCCCUGGACCAACCACUGUGGCUGGAGAGACGGUGCGUGGUGUCUGGCCCAGCCCGGGUCAUGGGUAUCCUCUGCUGGAAAGAGAAUGGGGUUGGUCAUCAAAUGAGGGGAAGGCUGGGAGUGGUGGGGAGGAGUGACGGGCCGUGUUUCCCAACGUGGCUGCAAUGAUCUUUCUCUUCCUACACACUCUUCAUACCAUGAGAUUUUUGCCUCUUCUCCCAUCAAAAACUGGGGUCUAGGUUUCUGAGCCUUGAAUCCUGGUGGGCUUGGGAUAACGGUCAGGGUGACGUGUAAGGCUGGGUGGUAACAGGUAAGUCGACUUCCACCUGGUUCUCUUGGAACGCUCACUCUUGGAGCCAAGCCCUGUGGAGAAGCCAUGGUAGGUGUUUCAGCCAGCGCCCCAGGUGAGGCACUGGGCCUGUAGGUGAGAGAGCCUUUGGCGAUUCCAGCUCCCAGACAUUGGGUCACCACCCUCAGGCUUUAAGCUGCUCCCGCUGACCCCACAGAGAGCAAGGAUGAGCUGUCCCUGCCAAACCCUGCUCGAAUUACAGAUUUGUUUAUUUAUUUUUUUAGACAGGGUCUCACUCUGUCACCCAGGCUGAAGUGCAGUGGUGAAUCAUUGCUUACUGAGGCCUGGACCUCCUGGACUCCAGCGGUUGUCCCACCUCAGCCUGCGAGUAGCAGGGACUGCAAGCACUCACCACAACACCUGCUAAUAUUUUUUAAAAAUUUUUGUAGAGACAGAGACAGGGUCUCACCAUGUUGCCCAGACUGGUCUCAAGCUCUUGGGUUGAAGCAAUUCUCUCACUCUGACCUCCCAACAUGCUAGGGUUAGAAGCAUGAGCCACCAUGCCGAGCCAAAUUAGAGAUUUGUGACCACAAUACCUGAUUGCUCUUUUUUCUCUUUUAUUUUUUUGAGACAGAGUCUCAUUCUGUCUGUUGCCCAUGCUGCAGUGCAGUGGCACGAUCUCCACUCUCCGCAACCUUCAGCUCCCAGGUUCAAGCAAUUCUCAUGCUUCAGCCUCCCGGGUAACUGGGAUUAUAGGCAUGUACCACCACGCCUGGCUAAUUUUUAAAAAUAUUUUUAGUAGAGAUGGGGUUUCGCCACGUUGGCCAGGCUGGUCUCGAACUCCUGGCCUCCAGCAAUCCACCCACCUCGGCCUCCCAGAGUGCUAGGAUUACAGGCAUGAGCCGCCGCGUCUGUCUGAUCGAUGCUUUUUAGCCGCUAGGUCCGGGGUAGUUUUUUAGGCAGCAAUAGACAACUAGAGCAGGAGGGUGUACGUGGGGCAUGAGCAGAAGCUCUGUGCAACCAGACCCUUGCUCCUGGGGAGGUGAGAGGCAAGAAGGAGCAAGAGACAGACAGAGGCCGAGUGAGAAAGGCUCAGAAUCAGCUGAUGUGCUACCUUCAAGGAAGGCCAUCAGAUGUGGCCAUGCCUGUUCCCUGCAGCCACAAAGGAAACUAACCCAGCCACUGGGUUGCAUGCUAGCUUGAUUACCGGGUCCAGUGGAGAGGGAAGCGAAAGACCCACGGGGCCCACACCUGGAAGGGGUGGAAGGCCCACACCUGGCGCCCCACCCUGCCAUGCCUCCCCUCCAACCAGGUGGAACUGCAGACUGAUGUCCAGGCUCAGCCUUGCCCCCGCUCACCAGCCAAGAAGUCACCCUGGGGACAAGUGGCCCCGGGAUGGGCUCUGCGCUUGCUAAGAGCACCGUGUGCUUCUGUGCGAGUCAUACGCCUACGGCUCUGUCCCCUUGCCUCUGAGAUCUGACCGUUUAAUCACGGAAAUUACCUUGCUAAACUCUGUUAUCAUUUCUAGUGUUUUUUUCUGCAGACGUAAGUUUUUAGUGUAGACAUGUCAUGUGAGAAAGAUGAUAGUUUUGUUCCUUCCUUUCUAGCCCCGAUACCUCUAUUCAUUUUCCUUGUUCUACGCUGGCACCAGAAAUAUAAUGUCGAAGAGAAGAAA
Callithrix jacchus (white-tufted-ear marmoset) is the source of this 8688-nucleotide long non-coding RNA. RefSeq lists it as uncharacterized. The record is from RefSeq and is a predicted model, not a curated record. Lineage: Eukaryota; Metazoa; Chordata; Mammalia; Primates; Cebidae.